RNAcentral lists this ribosomal RNA (253 nucleotides) under uncultured bacterium. RNAcentral describes it as "partial 16S ribosomal RNA". It matches the Rfam family "Bacterial small subunit ribosomal RNA", at positions 524 to 776 of the family's 1533-position model. The record is from RNAcentral.
UACGGGGGGGGCAAGCGUUGUUCGGAAUUACUGGGCGUAAAGCGCGCGUAGGCGGCUUUUCAAGUCAGACGUGAAAUCCUUAGGCUUAACCUGAGAACUGCGUUUGAUACUGUUGGGCUAGAGUGUGGAAGGGGCUACUAGAAUUCCCGGUGUAGCGGUGAAAUGCGUAGAGAUCGGGAGGAAUACCUAUGGCGAAAGCAGGCUUCUGGGCCGUCACUGACGCUGAUCUGCGAAAGCUAGGGGAGCAAACAGG